Molecule: long non-coding RNA, 807 nt
Organism: Drosophila mojavensis
Lineage: Eukaryota; Metazoa; Arthropoda; Insecta; Diptera; Drosophilidae
Exons: 2
Source: RefSeq, a predicted model, not a curated record
AAUAUUUGUAUUUGGUUUUUCCAGUCGUCGCAGCUAUAAAUAUGUAUAAAUGAAAAAUUGUAAUUGCUGGAGUUAAUAACUAGUUGCAAACCAAUAGAGCUUAGCUAGUUCCUUGGCCAGUGCCAAGUCUCGCUAAAGUUUAUUCUGGAGCGCGCCUGAAGGCUUCAAAGUUCUGAGUGCAGCUCUUGGAAUAAUUUAACAGGCGAGCGCCUGUUUGAAGCUACGCGGCGCUACGUGGCCUCUUAAGUUCUGCCUCGCUCCAUUAGGGUGUGUUGGUGUUUGCCCAUAAUUUGGAAGUGUUGGAUGCGCUCUCCCUGAAACUCGAGGAGCACUCGACUUUACAAGCUGGAGCCGCCAAACGGAGCAGGCGAAACCCUCUCAAUGAGUGCUGAAUGAAAAGGCUUAAAGACGUAUGCGCUGGCAGCAGCAAACAAUGCAAAGAACAAUCGCUUUCAACAAACUCAAAUGCCGAAGCGUUUAGAGCAGAGGGCGUUGAAUGAAAGAAAUCCGCCCACGGCGGGAACAGUUCCCAUUGCUCGACAUGAAGCGUUGACAGUCAGAGCAUCGCAGGAAGUGUUCGCAGGCAGCAUCAGCAUCAGCUCCAGCUUCAGCCUCGCCGUCUGCAUCAGCAUCAGCAUCACGCAGAACAACAGCAACAGGAGAGCAAACUUAGCAACUUGAGAGCAAUUUCGAACAAAUAACAUUCGCAAAAAUAUGAAGCGACCAUGCAGCAGGGGCCAGGCCGAGCGGCUAGUGGCUACGGCGCACUCUAAUCCCCGAGCGGGGCAAUAAAAGGCAUCUCGCAAA